RNAcentral lists this ribosomal RNA (440 nucleotides) under uncultured bacterium. Its description in RNAcentral is "partial 16S ribosomal RNA". It matches the Rfam family "Bacterial small subunit ribosomal RNA", at positions 338 to 795 of the family's 1533-position model. The record is from RNAcentral.
CCUACGGGAGGCAGCAGUAGGGAAUAUUGCUCAAUGGGGGAAACCCUGAAGCAGCAACGCCGCGUGGAGGAUGAAGGUUUUCGGAUUGUAAACUCCUUUUGUUAGAGAAGAUAAUGACGGUAUCUAACGAAUAAGCACCGGCUAACUCCGUGCCAGCAGCCGCGGUAAUACGGAGGGUGCAAGCGUUACUCGGAAUCACUGGGCGGAAAGAGCGCGUAGGCGGGAUAGCAAGUCAGAUGUGAAAUCCUAUGGCUUAACCAUAGAACUGCAUUUGAAACUGUUAUUCUAGAGUAUGGGAGAGGUAGGUGGAAUGCUUGGUGUAGGGGUAAAAUCCGUAGAGAUCAAGAAGAAUACUCAUUGCGAAGGCGACCUGCUAGAACAUAACUGACGCUGAUGCGCGAAAGCGUGGGGAGCAAACAGGAUUAGAUACCCCAGUAGUC